AAGGGGACACCGAGUGUCAGCAUCAUAUGCUGGCUGUCCAGGUGUGUAAAAUACACCUGUUAGCAAGGGCCGGGCAAGACCGGUGCCAGCCGCCGCGGUAACACCGGCGGCCCGAGUGGUGAUCGUGAUUAUUGGGUCUAAAGGGUCCGUAGCCGGUUUGGUCAGUCCUCCGGGAAAUCUGAUAGCUCAACUAUUAGGCUAUCGGGGGAUACUACCAGACUUGGAACCGGGAGAGGUAAGAGGUACUACAGGGGUAGGAGUGAAAUCUUGUAAUCCCUGUGGGACCACCUGUGGCGAAGGCGUCUUACCAGAACGGGUUCGACGGUGAGGGACGAAAGCUGGGGGCACGAACCGGAUUAGAUACCCGGGUAGUCCCAGCCGUAAACGAUGCUCGCUAGGUGUCAGGCAUGGCGCGACCGUGUCUGGUGCCGCAGGGAAGCCGUGAAGCGAGCCACCUGGGAAGUACGGCCGCAAGGCUGAAACUUAAAGGAAUUGGCGGG
Molecule: ribosomal RNA, 500 nt
Filed under: uncultured Methanosarcina sp.
Lineage: Archaea; Methanobacteriati; Methanobacteriota; Methanomicrobia; Methanosarcinales; Methanosarcinaceae
Description: bacterial SSU rRNA
Rfam family: Archaeal small subunit ribosomal RNA
Source: RNAcentral